GAUGAACGCUGGCGGCGUGCCUAAUACAUGCAAGUCGAGCGAACAGACGAGGAGCUUGCUCCUCUGACGUUAGCGGCGGACGGGUGAGUAACAUGAGGAUAACCUACCUAUAAGACGGGGAUAACUUGGGGAAACCGGAGCUAAUACCGGAGAAUAUAUUGAACCGCAGGGGUCAAUGGUGAAAGACGGUUUUGGUGUAACGAAUAGAUGGAUCCGCGCCGGAUGAGCGGGUUGGGAAGGUCAAGGCUUACGAAGGCAAGGAUGCGUAUCCGACCUGAUAGGCUGGUCGGCCACCCGGGAACUUAGCCACGCUCCAUACUCCUACGGGAGGCAGCAGUCGCGAAUCUUCCGCAAUGGGCGAAAGCUUUACGGAGCAACGCCGCGUGAGUGAUGAAGGUCUUCCGAUCGUAAAACUCUGUUAUUAGGUGAGAACCACUUUGUAAGUUACUAUGCACGUCUUGACGGUACCUAGUCAGAAAGCCACGGCUAACUACGUG
RNAcentral lists this ribosomal RNA (497 nucleotides) under uncultured bacterium. RNAcentral's name for it is "partial 16S ribosomal RNA". It matches the Rfam family "Bacterial small subunit ribosomal RNA", at positions 28 to 507 of the family's 1533-position model. The record is from RNAcentral.